RNAcentral lists this unclassified non-coding RNA (450 nucleotides) under Hevea brasiliensis (rubber tree). The record is from RNAcentral. Lineage: Eukaryota; Viridiplantae; Streptophyta; Magnoliopsida; Malpighiales; Euphorbiaceae.
AUUUCUUUCUCACUUCUAGCUGCAUCCUCGAUGUUAAUGGGUAAAGUUGGCAUGGCUUUGCUGAUACAAUGGAGCUUCCUGACUUGAACUUCAACCUGCUGUGUGGUGCCUUUGAUGGGAACAGAAGGUACAGAAACGAGGCCUUGAACAUCGAUAAUGGACUCGCGGCUCAACCCGGCCACGAACUUCACCAUUUGCCGGCUAACGAACUCAGGCUGAGCAGUAACCACGCACUGCACAGUGAAACCCUUCUGUCUAACCACCACAAAGGCCAUAUUCUUACCCACAGCACGAGUCGUCUGGGCGCGGCCCCUUAUCAACACCUCCUUAUCCUUCAACCCCUCGCUUAGGUCCCCGACUCUGGUCCACUCGCUGAGAUCGGUCUCCUCCUUCGACUGGAGCUCAUACAGCGGCACAUUACCGUAUUUGGCGGCCAACGGAUCUUCCUCU